AUAUCAAUAAGCGGAGGAAAAGAAACCAACAGGGAUUGCCCUAGUAACGGCGAGUGAAGCGGCAACAGCUCAAAUUUGAAAUCUGGCUCUUUCAGAGUCCGAGUUGUAAUUUGCAGAGGGCGCUUUGGCUUUGGCAGCGGUCCAAGUUCCUUGGAACAGGACGUCACAGAGGGUGAGAAUCCCGUACGUGGUCGCUAGCUAUUGCCGUGUAAAGCCCCUUCGACGAGUCGAGUUGUUUGGGAAUGCAGCUCUAAAUGGGAGGUAAAUUUCUUCUAAAGCUAAAUAUUGGCCAGAGACCGAUAGCGCACAAGUAGAGUGAUCGAAAGAUGAAAAGCACUUUGGAAAGAGAGUCAAACAGCACGUGAAAUUGUUGAAAGGGAAGCGCUUGCAGCCAGACUUGCUUGCAGUUGCUCAUCCGGGCUUUUGCCCGGUGCACUCUUCUGCAGGCAGGCCAGCAUCAGUUUGGGCGGUGGGAUAAAGGUCUCUGUCACGUACCUCUCUUCGGGGAGGACUUAUAGGGGAGGCGACAUACCACCAGCCUGGACUGAGGUCCGCGCAUCUGCUAGGAUGCUGGCGUAAUGGCUGUAAGCGGCCCGUCUUGAAACACGGACCAAGGAGUCUAACAUCUAUGCGAGUGUUUGGGUGUCAAGCCCGAGCGCGUAAUGAAAGUGAACGGAGGUGGGAACCCGCAAGGGCGCACCAUCGACCGAUCCUGAAGUUUACGGAAGGAUUUGAGUAAGAGCAUGGCUGUUGGGACCCGAAAGAUGGUGAACUAUGCUUGAAUAGGGUGAAGCCAGAGGAAACUCUGGUGGAGGCUCGCAGCGGUUCUGACGUGCAAAUCGAUCGUCAAAUUUGGGCAUAGGGGCGAAAGACUAAUCGAACUAUCUAGUAGCUGGUUCCUGCC
RNAcentral lists this ribosomal RNA (904 nucleotides) under Curvularia eragrostidis. Its description in RNAcentral is "LSU rRNA". It matches the Rfam family "Eukaryotic large subunit ribosomal RNA", at positions 40 to 962 of the family's 3401-position model. Lineage: Eukaryota; Fungi; Ascomycota; Dothideomycetes; Pleosporales; Pleosporaceae. The record is from RNAcentral.